This 913-nucleotide ribosomal RNA is filed under the name uncultured bacterium. RNAcentral's name for it is "bacterial SSU rRNA". It matches the Rfam family "Bacterial small subunit ribosomal RNA", at positions 246 to 1155 of the family's 1533-position model. The record is from RNAcentral.
UAGUUGGUGGGGUAAUGGCUCACCAAGGCGACGAUCAGUAGCGGGUCUGAGAGGAUGAUCCGCCACACUGGAACUGAGACACGGUCCAGACUCCUACGGGGGGCAGCAGUGGGGAAUUUUGGACAAUGGGGGAAACCCUGAUCCAGCCAUUCCGCGUGAGUGAAGAAGGCCUUCGGGUUGUAAAGCUCUUUCAGCUGGAACGAAACGGUACGCUCUAACAUAGCGUGCUAAUGACGGUACCAGCAGAAGAAGCACCGGCUAACUACGUGCCAGCAGCCGCGGUAAUACGUAGGGUGCGAGCGUUAAUCGGAAUUACUGGGCGUAAAGCGUGCGCAGGCGGAUUGUUAAGCAAGAUGUGAAAUCCCCGGGCUUAACCUGGGAAUGGCAUUUUGAACUGGCAGUCUAGAGUGUGUCAGAGGGGGGUGGAAUUCCACGUGUAGCAGUGAAAUGCGUAGAUAUGUGGAGGAACACCAAUGGCGAAGGCAGCCCCCUGGGAUAACACUGACGCUCAUGUACGAAAGCGUGGGUAGCAAACAGGAUUAGAUACCCUGGUAGUCCACGCCCUAAACGAUGUCAACUGGUUGUUGGGGGAGUGAAAUCCCUUAGUAACGAAGCUAACGCGUGAAGUUGACCGCCUGGGGAGUACGGUCGCAAGAUUAAAACUCAAAGGAAUUGACGGGGACCCGCACAAGCGGUGGAUGAUGUGGAUUAAUUCGAUGCAACGCGAAAAACCUUACCUACCCUUGACAUGUCCAGAAUCCUGCAGAGAUGCGGGAGUGCCCGAAAGGGAAUUGGAACACAGGUGCUGCAUGGCUGUCGUCAGCUCGUGUCGUGAGAUGUUGGGUUAAGUCCCGCAACGAGCGCAACCCUUAUCAUUAGUUGCUACGCGAGGGCACUCUAAUGAGACUGCCGG